Molecule: ribosomal RNA, 433 nt
Filed under: uncultured bacterium
Lineage: Bacteria
Description: bacterial SSU rRNA
Rfam family: Bacterial small subunit ribosomal RNA
Source: RNAcentral
GUGAACGCUGGCGGUGCGCCUAAGACAUGCAAGUCGAGCGGCCCGCAAGGGCAGCGGCGAACGGCUGCGUAACACGUGGGUACCUACCCCGAACUCAGGGAUACCCCUCCGAAAGGAGGGUUAAUACCGGAUGCCCCCGCAAGGGGAAAGAUUUUUCGGUUCGGGAGGGGCCUGCGGCCUAUCAGCUAGUUGGUAAGGUAACGGCUUACCAAGGCUAUGACGGGUAGCUGGUUUGAGAGAACGACCAGCCAGAAUGGAACUGAGACACGGUCCAUACUCCUACGGGAGGCAGCAGUUAGGAAUCUUCCGCAAUGGGCGAAAGCCUGACGGAGCGACACCGCGUGAAGGAUGAAGCCCUUUUUGGGUGUAAACUUCUGUUGUGAGGGACGAAAUUUUUGACGGUACCUCACGAGAAAGCACCGGCUAAUUCUGU